This 322-nucleotide small nuclear RNA is filed under the name Meriones unguiculatus (Mongolian gerbil). RNAcentral describes it as "7SK RNA (ENSMUGG00000004368.1)". It matches the Rfam family "7SK RNA". Rfam says of the family: 7SK was discovered as an abundant small nuclear RNA in the mid-70s but a possible function has only recently been suggested. Two independent studies have found that 7SK RNA binds the CDK9/cyclin T complex (known as elongation factor P-TEFb). The record is from RNAcentral. Lineage: Eukaryota; Metazoa; Chordata; Mammalia; Rodentia; Muridae.
GAAUGUGGGGGUGAUCUGGCCAGGACAGCUGUCCCCUCAUUGAUGGCCAGGGUAGAUUCCGCUGAUCUGGUUGGCUCCCUGUGUAGGUGCCCCCUUCUCUCUCGCUCACAUCUCUGAAGAUGGACUUCUCUUUUAGAGGAGGACAGGUCUUCGGUCAAGAGCACCCCAAUAACUAUGCCUGCCUUCUCAGACCUCCAAACAAGCCCUCUCAAAGGCAGAACGUUUACUGUAUGGCCACGCCACCCUGCAGUCACUGGAUCCCGUCAAAAAGUAAUACAUCCAUUCAAAGAAUUUUAAACUGCCUGAGAAAGUACUUUUAACU